AGAGAUGUAGCUCAGUGGUAGAGCACUGGCUUAGUAUUAGUGAAUGUCUGGGUCCCAUCUCUA
Molecule: transfer RNA, 63 nt
Filed under: Dipodomys ordii (Ord's kangaroo rat)
Lineage: Eukaryota; Metazoa; Chordata; Mammalia; Rodentia; Heteromyidae
Rfam family: tRNA
About the family: Transfer RNA (tRNA) molecules are approximately 80 nucleotides in length. Their secondary structure includes four short double-helical elements and three loops (D, anti-codon, and T loops).
Source: Rfam by way of RNAcentral